GGGGCGGUGGCUCAGUGGUAGAGUGCUUGCCUUGCAUGCAUGAGGCCCUGGGUUCGAUUCCCCAGCACCA
Molecule: transfer RNA, 70 nt
Filed under: Dipodomys ordii (Ord's kangaroo rat)
Lineage: Eukaryota; Metazoa; Chordata; Mammalia; Rodentia; Heteromyidae
Rfam family: tRNA
About the family: Transfer RNA (tRNA) molecules are approximately 80 nucleotides in length.
Source: Rfam by way of RNAcentral